Clupea harengus (Atlantic herring) is the source of this 309-nucleotide non-coding RNA. The record is from the annotation of a RefSeq genome assembly. NCBI's taxonomy places the organism in Eukaryota, Metazoa, Chordata, Actinopteri, Clupeiformes, Clupeidae.
AUGAACUUCAUGAUUGUAUCAACCCUGCUGGCUGCUUUACUGGUGGAGAGUGGACAUGGUCAGACACUGACUGAAUCUGAGCCUGUGGUCAUUAAUCCUGGAGGAUCUCGCAGACUGACCUGCACAGCCUCUGGGUUCACAUUUAGUAACUACUAUAUGGCUUCGAUCAGACAGGCUCCUGGGAAUGGGCUGGAAUGGAUCUUGAGCAUGUACAGCUCUUCUCACAUCUACCACUCUCAGGCUAUUCAGGGACGGUUCACAAUCUCUAAAGAUGAUGACAAGAGCCAGGUGUAUCUGCCUGAAGACUGA